This 73-nucleotide transfer RNA is filed under the name Delavayella serrata. RNAcentral's name for it is "tRNA-Trp". It matches the Rfam family "tRNA". Rfam says of the family: Transfer RNA (tRNA) molecules are approximately 80 nucleotides in length. Their secondary structure includes four short double-helical elements and three loops (D, anti-codon, and T loops). Lineage: Eukaryota; Viridiplantae; Streptophyta; Jungermanniopsida; Jungermanniales; Jungermanniaceae. The record is from RNAcentral.
CGCUCUUAGUUCAGCUCGGUAGAACGCAGGUCUCCAAAACCUGAUGUCGUAGGUUCAAAUCCUACAGGGCGUG